UCCUACACCAAGUCCACACAGAUCGACACCACAAGCCCUCAUCCUCCGCUGCCCAUCUGCCAAAGCAAACAAGAACACACAAGACAGUUCAGGCAGGCAUGGAUGCAGAGUUCACCUGAGUUGGGAGGGACUGACUAGCCAACCAUGCAAAUGCAAGCAGGGCGGAGAAUUAGUAGCCGAUGUCGGCGCCGUCGUCGACCAAGGUCGCCGUUGAUGCCGGGGAUAGGUAUCGAUCACACGGUGUUAUGGGCCCUGGUCAAGAUCGCAGGAGGAGACGCUUCAAUCUGGCGAGAUCCCGGCUCUCGUUGCUGCUCUCUCGGAGGUGGAUCUCAUCUGGGAUAAUAUAUAUGGCAGAAUUUCCAAGGAAAUGCACGGUUGCCUUGUCGGCUGAGUGUAACUUCCAGGUCGCAACCUUUGUACGAGCAGCCGAAUGAGCAGGAACGAGUACACAUCACAUUUUAUUGACUCAUGCGUGGGUGGUGUAAACAACGGAAAUGAUUUGCGUACGACGAUGCAUGUCCGAAGCACGUACGACGAUGCAUCCGCAUCGUGAGCUAGCUAACCCGUUGAAAGACAUACGGCUUGAUUUGAUGGUCGUACGUGGUUCGGAUGAGAAUCGUCGUACGUGUAGCACUGCUCAGUCUUGGGUGGUGUAAACAAAGUCUUCUUAGGGUAUGUACAAUGGUUGAUAAGAUAGUUUUAUUUCAAGUUUUACAUGUAAUUUAUAGAUGAUAAAAAAAGUCUUACAAUGAAUCACCUCUUAAUUGUUCUCUCUUAAAUAAGAAAAGACAAAUUUUUUUUAUGAGUUAUCUUUCCUCCACCUCAUCAUUUAUCUUACAUGACACUACUAAGAUAGCAUCAUUGUACAUGUCCUUAUGUGACAGGAAAAAAAAACCAACAGCCCUACCAGGAAAUAAAACAAACGUGUGAAGCACGUGUUGUGCAUGAGAGUGAUUUUGUUUUCUUAACUCAUGCCUUUUGGUUUAUUGCACUAUCUUUCUUUUAACACGCAAGCGUUUAUAUACACGUACAUAGACUGAGCCGGCAUAUCAUGAAAUUUAUGAAUAAAUUCAGAAAUAAAUGCGAACAUCAGGAUUUAAACCCUGAUGAGCUAUGAAUAUCACAAUCUCUCUAACCAUCCAACCACAGACUGGUUCGCAUUGUACUCUUCGUCGUACUAUCUUUUCAAUGUGUUACUUGUUGUCCUUAAUAAUUAUCAUAUCUAAGAUGCCCUUUGGGUGUGUUUCGUACUAUGAAAAAGGGUCCUGCAUGGAUAGAGAGAGCGUGUGCUGACGAGACAGCAUAAAAUGUUUCACCAGUUAGUUAAUAGAGUGUCACAUAAAUAAAAUACAUAGUCCGGGUAGGAAAAAUACUCCACGAUGCUUGAGUGCCCUUGACCAAAGCCUAGCGCCCUCGAUCGCCCCAUCCUUUCCUCCCUGGCUACUACCUCAGAUCACCGCCAAUCCGCAUGACUUCCAAGGACGACAGCGGCGAAGCUCCCUCCUUGAGCAACACCUUGGUACUUGUACGCCUCUUCCUACUGAGCGACGUCGUUGUGCUCUCCGUUGGUUCCUUGGUGGUUGCGUUUUUCUGUUGCCAUUUUUGUUGGCGAUGCUCCGCCCCUCCUUUGGACGGAGCAUUGCCAGUAUAUGGACUUUUUUUUAGAAUAACUGCAUAUUUUUUAACCAGCAAAUGUUACAAACAUAGCACAUACAUAACAUCGCUGAGAGAGCACGAGAGACCAAAGGUGUCCCAACACAAAUGCAAAAAGGUCUCAAAAAGGAGAAAAUACAAUCUGAACCCCCGGGGGCCUUAAUGCAUGAAGAACCAACACCAGUCGCUGACCGCCGCCAUCGACGACGAGACGAACGGCGAAGGAGGACGCCAGAAACCAUCAAACCCUGAGCCGAGGGCACACCAUCACUGAAAAGGGCUUUCUGAGUCGAAGAUGAGCCCGGUCGCAAACGGUGAGGCAUAGCCGUUGUGGCACGUCGACCGGGGAAAGUCCCCGUGCAAAUCCUCGGCUCCAGUUUCGGCACCUCCGUUGGACGAAGUCGAAGGAGAAUUACCAGAUCUACCGCCACAAACCACCACGAGAGUGUUGAGUCACCAAGUCUCUCGCCAACAGCCGCGGUCACCGCACGGGCCGGUGACCAACGCUGGCCCGAGCACUCCUAUACAAGACUCUGUCGGCUUCCCAUCGACACUGAAGAACGUGUCGAUGUGGCAGAGACGAAGCCGAGGGAACAAAACUCCCGAUGUCCCCUGCUUGACCAAAUCCGAGCACGCCAAGCCUGUCGCCGCACACGUCGGCCAGGCCAAACCUAACCUCACCGCCCAAGACGAGCGGCAGGAAUCUACGCCGAGCAGCGCCCGAGGAAACACCACCGAGACGGAGGCGGAACCGGAGGACAAAAGGCACGAGCUGGGCAGCCGUCGCCGCCUCGUCGACCCAGCCCCACCACCCAGAUAUCGCCAGCCACGCGAAACCUGCGAGCAGACCGAAGCUCCCAGCCUUCUCGCCCACCGCAACGCAUACCACCGCGUUGGGGAGAGAGCAGGGGCACCCUUAUUAGCCGCACUCGCCAUUCCCACCGGAGAUGCGAAAACGACCAGCCACCACCAAGCUACAAAGCCUACCUAGACUACACCUGUACAAGCCAUGCCCCCGGAUCCGACGACCCCAACCUGCACCGAAGAGCAUGAAGUCCCGGGGGAGAUGGCGUCGCCGGAUCCAAAGCCGGCAAAGGAGUCGCCUCUCACUAGUGGAAAACGGGCCUUUGGCCAGGACCCUUUAGUCCCGGCCUGCCUCUGGGCCGGGACUAAAGGCCCGGCCACGUCGCCCCAAUUCUCAAUGCCUCCCUCGAGGCUUUAGUCCCGGCCCGUAAGGAGCCUUUAGUCCCGGUUCAUGUUCCAAACCGGGACUAAAGGGCUACGCGGCGGGUAGUGGUGGUGGCAACCGUUCGUAUCCCCCUUUAGUCCCGGUUGGUGGCUCAACCCGGGACUAAAUCCCUAACCCGUGCCCUGCCGUAGUGGUGGUAACCGUUGGUAUACCUCUUUAGUCCCGGUUGGUGGCUCAACCCGGGACUAAAUCCCUAACACGUGGCCUGCCGUAGUGGUGGUAACCGUUGGUAUACCUCUUUAGUCCCGGUUGGUGGCUCACCCCGGGACUAAAUCCCUAACCCGUGCCCUGCCGUAGUGGUGGUAACCGUUGGUAUACCUCUUUAGUCCCGGUUGGUGGCUCAACCCGGGACUAAAGGCCCAAACGGUUUGCAUCCCGCGUCGUUUCGGGCGAUGAAAAGCACGAACCAAAGCAGAGUCGCCAUUUCUCUGUUUCUUCUUCUCUCUCGCUCUCGCUCUGUUCUUCUCCUCUCUUCUUCCAUCAUGCCAACUCGCUUUGGAGAGGUGCUCGCACAUGGCAAGACCAAGCUCGAUGUCGUGUACACGAACGAGAGCAGGGAGAUGCCGUAUUUUCUUGAACAGUUGAAGGAACGAUGGCUUGACGCCGCAAUGGAUCAUGAGAAGUUCUUGGGGCUUGAUCUGGAGUACACGGCCGAUCAACGCGGUGUUGCCGUCAUCCAACUAUGCUUCGCACACCAUGUCUUGAUCUUCCAAUGGGCGAGGUAAGUUUUGAGGCUUUCUUUGAUCCAAGGUAAUGACAUUGUAAGUUUAUUUGUUUCAAUCAUAGUUGGUUCCCUUCAAAUAGUUGUAGUGAAACAAUUUUGAUUAGUUGAAGGGGAACACAAUCUGAUUGGAAUAGUGUUCCAUAAUCUGAAAAAUCGUAUUAGAAUCAACUAGUGUUUAAUAUGUUCCAUUGGAAUCAUAGUUGGUUCGCUUCAAAUAGUUGUAGUGAAACAAUUUUGAUUAGUUGAAGGGAACACAAUCUGAUUGGAAUAGUGUUUCACAAUCUGAAAAAUCUGAUUGGUUCAAUAUGUUCCAUUGAAAUCAUAGUUGUAGUGAUACAAUUUUAUGCGGUGUUAUUUGAUCCAAGGUUAUGAAAAUUGCAUAUAGCUAGUGAUCUCUCUAGGUUCCAUUUGAUAGCAAUAUGAUAUGUCAUAGUCAUGAAAAUUGCAUAUAGCUAGUGAUCUCUCUAGGUUCCAUUGGAUAGCUAUAGUGAUCUCUCUAGGUUCCAUUGCAUAUGUUCUAUUUGAAUCCUAAAGAUAAUUUUCUCUUUAGUUGUAGUGAAACAUGUUUCCUUAUUGCAGCAGUAUGUAACAUUUUCCAUUUUAAUUUGUUUCUGUUGCAGUAGUGACAAGCAUUGUCCAGAACUCAUGGACUUCCUGCGCAGCGGCAUCACUUUUGCUACCGUUGACAUAACGAACGACAAGCUGAAGAUGAGGUACAGCUUCGGUAUUGAGAUACCAACUGGUUGCCUCAUUGAUCUCCAAACGGUAUUCAGGCUUCGACAUGUCAGGACUUCGAUGGCUCAUAUGGCAGUUGCCUUGAUCGACGAGGAAUAUGGUGAUAUGAAGACCAAUUUUCCCAAAGUCUCAGCACAAACUUUGGGAGAAGGCCCCACUUGAUCGUAUCAACAUUGAGUAUGCAACAAAAGAUGCAUACGUUUCAUACGAGUUGUACCGCAAGAUUCGAGUCGUCAACUAUGGCCAGCGUCACCUCGAAUAAGGUGGACAUUCUGAUUCGAGUCGUCAACUAUGAAAACUAAUUCCCGAACACCAAACGAGGCAUCACGUUAAUCUUCCGAACACCUAAACCCUAAAAUCCUAAAACCCAAAAAUAAUUUCAUUCAAAAAAAACCCAAAAAUAAGCAAAAUCUAAAACUCUUUAGUCCCGGUCCGUGUAACGAGCCGGGACUAAAGGGCCUGCCCCUGAGGCGCUACGAGGCGCCCACGUGGAGCAUCUUUAGUCCCGGCUUGUAACAGGGCCGGGACUAAAGGUUAGGCGUCCCGGUUGGUGAACCGGGACUAAAGUCCCUUACGGGCCGGGGCUAAAGGCCCCGUCUCCACUAGUGUCUGGCAGUAUAUGGACUUGUGGUAACCUUUGUUAGGACUUAGGUGCUCCAUCCCUGUUCCUCACCUCUCACCUGAUUUGGACGCCCACCGGUUUGGUCUGGCCUAGUAUCUUUUUCCAGUCAUUUCUCGGUUAGAUGCGGAAGAUUUGCCGCAUGAUCUAGCGAUUGCAUCUGACGUUUUUCUUGACUGGUGAUUAAAGUUGGUCGUUAAGGUCUUGUUGAACGUACGUGUGGACCAAAAUAUGUUUUUAUCUUUGUGACAAGUACAAUGACCGCUGUUGUAUUUAUCUCUCAUCUCAACCCUCAACUAAAUUCUAUGUGAAUUCCUAGUAUCUCUUGCAAUCCCUGGUAUCCAUCAAUUGGUUCUGUCGCGCUCCUAAGUUCUCCUUCCCUCUCCGAUCAUAUAUCUCUUUAGUCGAAUCAUGGCAAGGUCAUGUCAAGACCCAAAUGUUUUUUCAAAAAGAUAGUAUAAACACACACACUCACAUCCAUGAACGCACAUACGCACGUUCUAUUCCUAUAAGCACAUUUGAAAGGCUGAGCCGGCGGAUGUUAAGAUUGACAAAGUCACAACAAACGUCACAUCACUCUAUGGACAGAAACAUUGCCUCCCAUUGAGAGUACAUUUCGCGUUUAUCACACACCAAAGCAUCAACAUUUAAUUCCUUGUGUUAGGAAUUAAUUAAAUGUAUUAAUUAAUGGAAUAAUCCAUGCGUUGCCGGUUGCCUUGAUUUAGCAACCGUUCCUUGUAACCGACUCUGUACUCGGGGUAUAAAUACCCCGCAUCUUCAAUCAAUAAUAAUUGUUCCAUCAUUCUGUCACUUUCACUGUUUUACACGUUAUCAGCACUCGCUCUGCCGAGAGCGACAGAGAGCCACGAGAAAGGUCAGAAUGGCAGGAAGAGAGUUGUCUGCACUUGCUUUUGCUUUCGCACGCUUCCUGCAGAAAGAGAACACCCGCUUCCCUCGCACUCAGCGCCACCGCAUUGCACGUCGCCAUCAGGGUCUUGGUGCAAGGAAUGGCCCUCAUCGCCGUUCCUUCACCAGGAACCACCGCCAGAACCGGAGUGGCCCUCAUCGCCGCUUCUUCGCCGGGAACCACCGCCAGAACCACCGCCGUGGGUAUGCACGUCGAGGCAACCAACCACUUCGUGGGCGUGCACCAACGGUGCACCAGGCUGGAUCCUCGACUCCGGCCACCGCUCCACUACAACAGGCUGGUGUUGUAGAUAUGCCCUAGAGGCAAUAAUAAAUUAGUUAUUAUUAUAUUUCUUAGNNNNNNNNNNNNNNNNNNNNNNNNNNNNNNNNNNNNNNNNNNNNNNNNNNNNNNNNNNNNNNNNNNNNNNNNNNNNNNNNNNNNNNNNNNNNNNNNNNNNUGGAUAAUAAACUAUUAUCUUGAUACAGGAAUUAUAAUAAUAACUAUGCAUUUAUUAUUGCCUCUAGGGCAUAAUUCCAACAGUGCCUUCUAGUUGCACUGUCUGUACCCAGACAGUUUAUAACUCUUCCGCUGGCUUGUAUUUGUAUGACUGCUAUUAUGGGUCGAGAGACCUUAAUGUGUAAUAUUAUGUGUGUGGCUCUUNNNNNNNNNNNNNNNNNNNNNNNNNNNNNCUUCCGAGCCUCUUAAAUAAAGCUUGUAUGUUUAUGGUUAUGUUGUGAUGCCAUCGAUGUAUCUAUACAUAUCGGUAUGCCAUGCGUACGUGUGUCUUACUUGGUAUGUAUGGGGUUCGAAUACCUAGUCGUGAACUUUAGUAGCACUCCUUACAAGGAAAUGCCCCUUUGUGAUCCAACGAGCCUUGGUAGUUCGCUACUGCUCCGGACACAUUGGUUGACCGGCAUGUGUCCUUCUUAGCUGCUGUGUCUGUCCCCUUUGGGGAAAUUUCACGCGAUGUAAUGGAGUCCUUGUAGCUUGCUACGACUCGUCUACAUUCGCCGAUGACCGACACCUGCUUUGUUGGGUCAUGUAUGCCUGUCCUUGUGCGGUACUGCCACUUUGGUUUAUGACUAGACAUGUCGAUCCGGGUUCUUUGACAUUGGAUUGCUAGCGACACUAUCGCAUACGUGAGUCAAAAGACGCAAACGGUCCCGGCUAAGGUAAGGCUGCAGCCGUGGAGUUAACCGUGCGUGAGACCACAAAGGGAUGCGAUGUGUUACAGGCUAGAUUCCUAUGGCUUAGGAUCGAGGUCCCGACACUUUAAAAUAUCCAUUUGUACUUAACGGUCUUACGACCAUCAAGUAGUUCUUCCAAAGUCUACACUUUGUUUUCAUACAUGGAUCCUCUCUCGGAUUUCAUGGCCUCCAGCCAUUUAUCGGAAUUCGAGCCCACCAUCGCUUCUCCAUAGCUCGUAGGUUCAUUGUUGUUCAACAACAUGACCUCCAAGACAGGGUCACCGUACCACUCUGUAGCAGUACGCGACCUUGUCGACCUACGAGGUUUGUAGUAGCUUGAUCAGAAGCUUAAUGAUCACAAUCAUUAGUUUCCACUUCAAUUUGCGUAGGCGCCACAUGAACAAAUUCCUGCGCCCUGCUACACACUAGUUGAAGUGAUGGUUCAAUAACCUCAUCAAGUUCCACCAUCCUCCCACUCAGUUCUUUCGAGAGAAACUUUUCCUCGAGAAAGGACCCGUUUCUAGAAACAAACACUUUGCUUCCGGAUCUGAGAUAGGAGGUAUACCCAACUAUUUUGGGUGUCCUAUGAAGAUGCGUUUAUCCGCUCUGGGUUCGAGCUUAUCAUGCUGAAACUUUUCCACAUGAGCAUCGCAGCCCCAAACUUUUAAGAAACGACAGCUUAGGUUUCUCCAAACCAUAGUUCAUACGGUGUCAUCUCAACGGAAUUACGUGGUACCCUAUUUAAAGUGAAUGUGGUUGUCUCUAAUGCCUAACCCAAAACGAUAGUGGUAUUUCGAUAAGAGACAUCAUAGUAUGCACCAUAUCAAAUAGGGCGCGGCUAUGACAUUCAGACAAACCAUCACACUAUGGUGUUCUAGGUGGCAUGAACUGCAAAACAAUUUCCACAUUGUCUUAACCGUGUACCAAAACUCGCAGCUCAGAUAUUCAUCUCUAUGAUCAUAUCGUAGACAGUUUAUCCUCUUGUCACGAUGAUCUUCACUCUGGAAUAGCUUUGAACUUUUCAAUAUUUCAGACUUGUGAUUCAUCAAGUAAAUACUCAUGUAUCUACUCAAAUCAUCAGUGAAGUGAGAACAUAACGAUAUCCACUGCGUGCCUUAGCACUCAUUGGACUGCACAUAUCAAAAAUCUAUUGCAUCCAACAAGUUACUUUCUUGUUCCAUGUGGUAUGAUUUUGCAUGUCUCAAGUGAGUUAAAAUCAAGUGAUUCCAAACGAUCCAUCUGCAUGGAGUUUCUUCAUGCGUUUAUACCAACAGGUAUGGUUUCCAUGUCUCAAACGUUUCAAAAAUGAGUGAGUACAAAGAUCCAUAAGCAUGGAGUUUCUUCAUGCAUUUUACACCAACAUGACUCAAGCGGCAGUGCCACAAGUAAGUGGUUCUAUCAUUAUUACUUUGUAUCUUUUGGCACCACUAUUAUGAAUAUGUGUAACACUACGAUCGAGAUUCAAUAAAUCAUUGAAGGUAAUUAUUCAAGAAAAUAGAAUAACCAUUAUUCUCUUUAAAUGAAUAAUCGUAUUGCAAUAAACACGAUCCAAUCAUGUUCAUGCUCAAAGCAAACACCAAAUAACAAUUAUUUAGGUUUAACACCAAUCCCGAUGGUAGAGGGAGCGUGCGAUGUUUUGAUCACAUCAACCUUGGAAACACUUUCAACACGUAUCGUCACCUCGCCUUUAGCUAGUCUCCGUUUAUUUCGUAGCUUUUAUUUCGAGUUACCAAUCACUUAGCAACCGAACCGGUAUCUAAUACCCUCGUGCUACUAGGAGUACUAGUAAAGUACACAUCAAUAUCAUGUAUAUCAAAUAUACUUCUGUUGACUUCGCCAGCCUACUCAUCUACCAAGUAUAUAGGGUAGCUCCGCCUCAGUGACCGUUCACCUCAUAACAAAAGCACUUAAUCUCGGGUUUGGGUUCAAUCUUGGGUUUCUUCAUUAGAGCAGCAACUGGUUUGUCGUUUCAUGAAGUAUCUCUUCUAGCCCUUGCCCUUCUUGAAACUAGUGGUUUUACUAACCAUCAACAAUUGAUGCUCCUUCUUGAUUUCUACUUUCGUAGUGUCAAACAUUGUGAAUCGCUCAAGGAUCAUCAUAUAUAUCCUUGAUAUGUUAUAGUUCAUCACGAAGCUCUAGCAGCUUGGUGGCAGUGACUUUGGAGAACCAUCACUAUCUCAUCUGGAAGAUUAACUCCCACUUGAUUCAAGCGAUUGUUAUACUGAGCACAUGCUCAACGAUUGAGCUUUUCUCCUUUACUUUGUAGACAAAGAAUCUUGUUGGAGGUCUCAUACCUUUCAACAAGGGCACGAGCAUGAAAUCUCAAUUUCAUAUCUUAGAACAUCUUUUAUGUUCCGUGACGUUUCAAAAUGUCUUCGGCGUCUUGCAUCUAAGCCAUUAAGUAUUACGCACUGAACUAUCACGUAGUCAUGAAAAAUGUGUAUGUCAGAUGUUCGCAACAUCCACAGACGACGCUUGAGGUGCAGCACACCGAGUGGUGCAUUAAGGACAUAAGCCUUCUACGCAGCAAUGAGGACAAUCCUCAGUUUUACGUACUCAGUCCGCAAAGUUACUACUAUCAUCUUUCAACUAAAUUUUCUCUAGGAACAUAUAAAAAAACAGUAGAGCUAUAGCGCAAGCUACAUCAUAAUUCGCAAAGACCUUUUGACCAUGCUCAUGAUAAUUAGUUCAAUUAAUCAUAUUACUUAAGAACUCCCACUCAAAAAAUACAUCCCUCUAGUCAUUUCAGUGGUGCAUGAUCCAAAUCCACUAACCCAAGUCCGAUCAUCACGUGAGUUGCGUAUAGUUUCAGUGGUAAACAUCUCUAUGCUAAUCAUAUCAACUAUAUGAUUCAUGCUCGACCUUUCGGUCUCUUGUGUUCCGAGGCCAUGUCUGCACAUGCUAAGCUCGUCAAGUUUAACCCGAGUGUUCCGCGUGUGCAACUGUUUUGCACCCGUUGUAUGCGAACGUUGAGUCUAUCACACCCGAUCAUCACGUGGUGUCUCGAAACGACGAACUGUCGCAACGGUGCAUAGUCGGGGAGAACACAAUUUUAUCUUGAAAUUUUAGUGAAGGAUCACGUUAUAAUGCUACCAUCGUUCUAAGAAAGAUAAGGUGCAUAAAAGGAUUAACAGCACAUGCAAUUCAUAAGUGACAUGAUAUGGCCAUGAUCUUGUGCUUCUUGAUCUCCAUCACCAAAGCACCGACAUGAUCUUCAUCGUCACCGGCACCACACCAUGAUCUCCACCAUCGUGCCGCCAUCGAGGUUGUCGUGCUAUAUACGCUAUCACUACUAAAGCUACAACCUAGCGAUAUAGUAAACGCAUAUGCAAACACAAACGUUAGUUUAAAGACAACCUUAUGGAUCCUGCCAGUUGCCGUAGCAUCGACGUGCAAGUCGAUAUUUAACUAUUACAAAAUGAUCAUCUCAUACAUCCAAUAUAUCACAUCAUGUCUUUGGCCAUAUCACAUCACAUGCAUACCCUGCAAAAACAAGUUAGACAUCCUCUAAUUUGUUGUUGCAUGUUUUACGUGGCUCCUAUGGGUAUCUAGUAUGAUCGCAUCUUACUUACGCAUAGCCACAACGGUAAUAUGCAAAUUGCUAUUUAACCUUUCUCCAAGGACCGCCUCGGUCAAAUCCGAUUCAACUAAAGUUGAAGAAACAGACACCCGCCAGUCAUCUUUAUGCAACAAGUUGCAUGUUAGUCGAUGAAACCGGUCUCUUGUAAGCGUACGAUUAAGGUUGGUUUGGGCCGCUUCAAUCCAACAAUACCGCCGAAUCGAGAAAAUACUAAGGAGGGCAGCAAAUUGAACAUCAAUGCCCACAAAAACUUGUUUGUUCUACUCGAGAUUACAUCUACGCAUGAACCUAGCUCAUGAUGCCACUAUUGGGGAACGUUUCAUGGGAAACUAAAAAAUUCCUACACACACGAAGACCUAUCAUGGUGAUGAUCAUCUACGAGAGGGAGAUCGGGUCCACAUACCCUUGUAGAUCGCUAAGUGGAAAUGUUAAGAAACGUGUAUGAUGUAGUGGUAUGUCUUCACGAUCCGUCCCACGAACCGUCUCACGAUCCGUCCCGAUCAAGUGUUGAACGGACGGCACCUCCGCGUUCCGCACACGUACAGCUCGAUGACGAUCUCCGCCUUCUUGAUCCAGCAAGAGGGGCGGAGAGGUAGAUGAGUUCUCCAGCAUGGCGAUGUGGUGGUGGUGUUGGUGGUGCUAUUCCAGCAGGGCUUCGCCUAAGCACCGCUGAAACUAGAGGAGAAACAGAUCUAGAGAGAGAGGGCAGCACGUGGCUGUUUCUGUUGUCCAAAAACCCUCAAAACCCUUAGUAUAUAUAGGAGGAGAGGAGGGAGAGGGUUGCGCCCUAGAGCAACCUUCUCUUCCCUUGCGCAAGGGAGAGGAGGAGGAGUCCUACUCCAAUCCUAUUUGGAGUAGGAUUCCUCCUUCCCACUUGGAAACUCUUUCCACCUUGUGUUUUUCCUUCUCAAACCUUAUGGGUCUUAGUGGGAACUUAUUCGAGCCCACUAGGGGAUGGUUUAUCUCUUGCCACAGCCCAUAAGGCCUCUUGGGGCGUGACACCCCUCCCGAUGGUCCCCGGCACACCUCCCGGCACUCCCGGUACACUACCGAUGAGCCCGAAACUUUUCCCGUGACCAAAACAGGACUCCCUAUAUAUCAAUCUUCAUUUCCGGACCAUUCUGGAAACCUUCGUGAUGUACGGGAUCUCAUCCGGCACUCUGAACAACCUUCGGUCACCAACACAUAUAACUUAACUAUACCGAAACAUCACCGAACUUUAAGUGUGUAGACCCUGCGGGUUCGAGAACUAUGUAGACAUGACCUGAGACACUCUUCGGUCAAUAACCAACGGCGGGACCUCGAUGUUCAUAUUGGCUCCUACAUAUUCUACGAAUAUCUCUAUCGGUUGAACCUCUAUGUCAAGGAUUAAUAUAAUCCCGUAUACUAUUCCCUUUGUCCUUCGGUAUGUUACUUGCCCGAGAUUCGAUCGUUGGUAUCUCCAUACCGAGUUCAAUCUCGUUACCGGCAAGUCUCUUUACUCGUUCCAUAAUACAAGAUCUCGUGACUAACUCCUUAGUCAUAUUGCUUGCAAGGCUUGUUGUGAUGUUGUAUUACCGAGUGGGCCCCCUAGAUACCACUCCGUCACAUGGAGUGACAAAUCACAGUCUUGAUCCAUGCCAACCUAAUAGACACCUUUGGAGAUACGUGUAGAGCACCUUUAUGGUCACCCAGUUAUGUUGUGACGUUUGAUACACACAAGGCAUUCCUCCGGUGUCCGGGAGUUGUGAUACGUCCAUUUUGCAUCAUGUUUUCAUGUUGAUAUUUAUUGCUUCUUGGGAUGUUAUAUUACUUGUGGUGCCAUAUUUAUGCCUUUUCGCUCUUAUUUUGCAAGGAUUAUUUGAAGAGGGAGAAUUCAGGCAGCUGGAAUUCUGGACUAGAAAAGGAGCAAAUCCUAGUCCACUAUUCUGCACAUCUCCAAAUGCCCUGAAAAUUUUCGUGGAUUUUUUCUAGAAUAUAUUAAAAAUACUGGGCGAAAGAACUACCAGAGGGGGCCACCAGGGCCCCACAAGCUUGCCCACCGCCGCCGCCCCCCUGGUGGCGCACGGCAGGCUUGUGGGCAGCCCACUGGCCCACUAGCCCCCCUCUUUUGCUAUAUGAUGCGUCCUGACCUGGAGAAAAUCAUACAGGAGCUUUUUCGUGGUUUCCCCGCCGCCACAGGGCGGAACUUGAGUAGAUCCAAUCUAGAGCUCCGGCAGGACGAUCUUGUCGGGGAAAUUUCCCUCCCGGAGGGGGGAAUCAUCACCAUCUUCAUCACCAACACUCCUCUCAGCGGAGGGGAGGCAUCUUCAUCAACAUCUUCAUCGGCACCAUCUCUUCUCCAAUCCCUAGUUCAUCUCUUGUAACCAAUCUUCGUCUCGCAACUCAGAUUAGUACUUGUAAGGUUGCUAGUAGUGUUGAUUACUCUUUGUAGUUGAUGCUUGUUGGAUUACUUGGUGGAAGAGUUUAUGUUCAGAUCCUUGAUGCUAUUCAUUACACCUCUGGUCAUGAUUAUGAUUAUAUCUUGUGAGUAGUUACUUUUGUUCCUAAGGACAUGGAAUAAGUCAUGCUGAUAAUAGUCAUGUGAAUUUGAUAUUCGUUCAGUAUUUUGAUAUGAUGUAUGUUGUUUUUCCUCUAGUGGUGUUAUGUGAACGUGGACUACAUAACACUUCACCAUAUUUGAGCCUAGAGGAAGGCAUUGUGAAGUAGUAAGUAGAUGAUGGGUUGCUGGAGUGACAGAAGCUUAAACCCCAGUUUAUGCGUUGCUUCGUGAGGGGAUGAUUUGGAUCCACUAGUUUAAUGCUAUGGUUAGACUUUGUCUUAAUUCUUCUUUUGUAGUUGCGGAUGCUUGCUAGAGAGGUUAAUCAUAAGUGGGAUGCUUGUCCAAGUAAGGUCAGUACCCAAGCGCCGGUCCACCCACAUAUCAAACUAUCAAAGUAACGAACGCGAAUCAUAUGAACAUGAUGAAACUAGCAUGACAGAAAUUCUCAUGUGUCCUCGGGAGCAUUUUUCCUCCUAUAUGACUUUGUUCAGGCUUGUCCCUUGCUACAAAAGGGAUUGGGCCACUUGCUGCACCGUUGCUACUACUUGUUAUUUGUUACUCUUUGCUUGCUACGUUUCACCUCGCUACACAAUCACUUGUUACCGCUACUUUCAGUGCUUGCAGUUAUUACCUUGCUGAAAUUCGUUUAUCACAGCCUUCUGCUCCUCGUUGGGUUCGACAAUCUUACUUAUAGAAAGGACUAUGAUUGAUCCCCUAUACUUGUGUUGGAAAUAUGCCCUAGAGGCAAUAAUAAAUUAGUUAUUAUUAUAUUUCUUUGUUCAUGAUAAUCGUUUCUUAUCCAUGCUAUAAUUGUAUUGAUUGGAAACACAGUGCAUGUGUGGAUACACAGACAAAACACAGUCCCUAGUAAGCCUCUAGUUGACUAGCUCGUUGAUCAAAGAUGGUCAAGGUUUCCUGACCAUAGGCAAGUGUUGUCACUUGAUAACGGGAUCACAUCAUUAGGAGAAUCAUGUGAUGGACUAGACCCAAACUAAUAAGACGUAGGAUGUUGAUCGUGUCAUUUUGUUGCUAUUGUUUUCUGCGUCUCAAGUAUUUGUUCCUAUGACCAUGAGAUCAUAUAACUCACUGACACCGGAGGAAUGCUUUGUGUGUAUCAAACGUUGCAACGUAACUGGGUGACUAUAAAGAUGCUCUAUAGGUAUCUCCGAAGGUGUUCGUUGAGAUAGUAUGGAUCGAGACUGGGAUUUGUCACUCCGUGUGACGGAGAGGUAUCUCGGGGCCCACUCGGUAAUACAACAUCACNNNNNNNNNNNNNNNNNNNNNNNNNNNNNNNNNNNNNNNNNNNNNNNNNNNNNNNNNNNNNNNNNNNNNNNNNNNNNNNNNNNNNNNNNNNNNNNNNNNNNNNNNNNNNNNNNNNGGUAAACGAGAUUGAAAUAGGUAUGCGGAUACUGACGAUCGAAUCUCGGGCAAGUAACAUACCGAAGUACAAAGGGAAUGACAUACGGGAUUAUAUGAAUCCUUGGCACCGAGGUUCAAACGAUAAGAUCUUCGUAGAAUAUGUAGGAUCCAAUAUGGGCAUCCAAGUCCCGCUAUUGGAUAUUGACCGAGGAGUCACUCGGGUCAUGUCUACAUAGUUCUCGAACCCGCAGGGUCUGUACACUUAAGGUUCGACGUUGUUUUAUGCGUAUUUGAGUUAUAUGGUUGGUUACCGAAUGUUGUUCGGAGUCCCGGAUGAGAUCACGGACAUCACGAGGGUUUCCGGAAUGGUCCGGAAACAAAGAUUGAUAUAUAGGAUGACCUCAUUUGAUUACCGGAAGGUUUUCGGAGUUACCGGGAAUAUACCGGGAAUGACGAAUGGGUUCCUCGGAAUGUACCAGGAAUGACGAAUGGGUUCCGGGUGUUCACCGGGGGGGCAACCCACCCCGGGGAAGCCCAUAGGCCUUGGGGGUGGCGCACCAGCCCUUAGUGGGCUGGUGGGACAGCCCAAUAAGGCCCUAUGCGCCAUAGGAAGAAAAUCAAAGAGAAAAAGGAAAAAAGAAAAGGGGAGGUGAGAAAAAGGGGAAGGACUCCACCUUCCAAACCUAGUUGGAUUCGGUUUGGAAGGGGAGGACUCCCCCCCUUGGCUCGACCGACCCCCAAGGCAAGGCCCCCCUCUCCCACCUAUAUAUACGGAGGUUUUAGGGUUGAUUUGAGACAACUUUGCCACGGCAGCCCGACCACAUACCACCAUGGUUUUACCUCUAGAUCGCGUUUCUGCGGAGCUCGGGUGGAGCCCUGCUGAGAUUAGAUCACCACCAAACUCCGGAGCGCCGUCAUGCUGCCCGAGAACUCAUCUACCUCUCCGUCUCUCUUGCUGGAUCAAGAAGGCCGAGAUCAUCGUCGAGCUGUACGUGUGCUGAACGCGGAGGUGCCGUCCGUUCGGCACUAGAUCGUGGGACGGAUCGCGGGACGGUUUGCGGGGCGGAUCGAGGGACGUGAGGACGUUCCACUACAUCAACCGCGUUUCUUAACGCUUCUGCUGUGCGAUCUACAAGGGUACAUAGAUCAAAUAUCCCCUCUCGUAGAUGGACAUCACCAUGAUAGGUCUUCGUGCGCGUAGGAAAAUUUUUGUUUCCCAUGCGACGUUCCCCAACAACUUGUGGGUCAUCAAGACUCUUUUCUGGCGCCGUUGCCGGGGAGUGAAGCGCCUUUGGUAAGUGGAAAUUGGUAAGGAAACAAUUUUAUACUGUGCUGAAAUUUAUUGUCACUUGUCACUAUGGAAACUCUUCCUUUGAGGAGUUUGUUCGGGGUAUCUUCACCAUGAACGGAAGCACGAGGAUUUGCUCCUCAACCUGAGGUACCUACUGAAAAUAUCUUUUAUAAAAUUCCUUUGGGUAUGCUUGAGAAAUUGCUGGCUAAUCCUUUUACAGGAGAUGGAUCUUCACAUCCAGACUUUCAUCUAAUCUAUGUAGAUGAAGUUUGUGGUUUAUUUAAGCUUGCAGGUUUGCCCGAGGAUGAGGUAAAGAAGAAACUCUUUCCUUUAUCUUUGAAGGAUAAGGCAUUGACAUGGUAUAGGCUAUGUGAUGAUACUGGAUCAUGCAGCUACAAUCGGUUGAAAUUGGAAUUUCAUCAAAAGUUCUAUCCCAUGCAUUUAGUAUAUCAUGAUCGGAACUUUAUUUAUAACUUUUGGCCUCGUGAUAGGGAAAGCAUAGCUCAAGCUUGGGGGAGGCUUAAAUCAAUGCUAUAUUCAUGCCCCAAUCAUGAGCUCUCGAGAGAAAUCAACACUCAAAACAUUUAUGCUCGGAUUUCUCAUGAAGAUCGUACCAUGCUUGAUACUUCUUGUGCCGGUUCUUUUAUGAAGAAGAAUAUUGAUCACAAGUGGAAUUUAUUGGAGAGAAUCAAACGCAACUCUGGAGAUUGGGAGCUGGAGGAAGGUAAGGACUCAGGUAUGAAUUUCUAUUUUGAUUGCGUUAAAUCUUUUGUUGAGACAAACACUUCUAGAGAGCGCUAAGUAUGGACUUGACUCUGAGAUAGUAGCUUCUCUUUGUAAAUCUUUUGCUGCUCAUGUUGAUCUUCCCAAAGAGAAGUGGUUUAAAUAUCAUCCUCCUGUAGAAAGCAACAUAGCCAAAACCAAUCUAGUUGAGGAGAAAAUCAUAGCUUUUAGUGAUCCUGUUGUUCCUUGUGCUUACACUGAGAAACCACCAUACCCUGCUAGGAUGAAGGAUUAUUCUAAAGCUCCAACUGUGAUACGUAGGGGUUACAUUAGACCACUUGCACCCCCUGAAGAGAUUAGAGUUGAACCUAGUGUUGCUAUUAUCAAAGAUCUCUUAGCCAAAGAGAUAGAUGGGCAUGUUAUCAAAUUCUGUGAGGACUCCGCUAGAAUUGCUAAACCUCACGCGAAAGACAAGCACGGACCUGUAGUUGGCCUGCCCGUUGUUUCUGUUAAGAUAGGAGAUCACUGUUACCAUGGUUUAUGUGAUAUGGGAGCUAGUGUUAGUGCAAUACCCCGUUCUCUAUAUGAUGAAAUCAAAGAUGAGAUUGCACCAGCUGAGAUAGAACCCAUUGAUGUCACUAUCACGCUAGCUAAUAGAGACACUAUAUGCCCUUUGGGAAUUGUGAGAGAUGUAGAAGUCCUGUGUGGUAAGACGAAGUAUCCUACUGAUUUCCUCGUCCUUGGUACUACACAAGAUAGCUUUUGUCCCAUCAUAUUCGGUAGACCCUUUCUCAACACUAUCAAUGCUCACAUUGAUUGCAUUAAGCAGACUGUCAUAGUAAGUUUCGAGGGUGUGUCUCAUGAAUUUAACUUCUCCAAGUUUGGAAGACAACCCCAUGAAAGAGAUUCAUCUGGUAGGGAUGAAAUCAUUGCUCUUUCCUCUAUUGCCAUACCUCCUACGAAUCCUUUAGAGCAAUAUCUGCUUGAGCAUGAAAAUGAUAUGCAUACGGAGGAGAGAGAUGAGAUAGAUAGAAUUGUCUUAGAACAAUGUCCUAUUCUCAAGAAUAAUCUGCAUGUUGAACUGCUUGGGGAUCCUCCCCCACCAAAGGGUGAUCCUGUGUUCGAGCUUAAACAGUUGCCUGAUACUCUUAAGUAUGCCUAUCUUGAUGAGAAGGAGAUAUAUCCUGUCAUUAUUAGUGCUCUCCUCUCAGAGCGUGAAGAGAAGAAGUUACUAAAAACUCUGAGGAAGCACCGCGCUGCUAUUGGAUAUACUCUUGAUGAUCUUAAGGGUAUUAGUCCUACUCUAUGUCAGCACAAGAUUAAAACCGAUCCUGACUUUAAACCAGUUGCUGAUCAUCAAAGGAGAUUAAAUCCUAAGAUGAAAGAGGUCGUUAGAAAAGAAAUAUUAAAGCUUCUGGAAGCAGGAAUCAUUUAUCCUAUUGCUCAUAGUGAUUGGGUAAGUCCAGUACAUUGCGUACCUAAGAAGGGAGGUAUCACCGUCGUUCCUAAUGAUAAGGAUGAACUAAUCCCACAAAGGAUUAUUACCGGCUAUAGAAUGGUGAUAGACUUCCGGAAACUGAACAAGGCAACCAGGAAAGAUCAUUAUCCUUUGCCGUUCAUCGACCAAAUGCUAGAAAGGCUAUCAAAGCACACACACUUUUGCUUUCUAGACGGUUAUUCAGGUUUCUCGCAAAUACCUGUUGCAUAAUUUGAUCAAGAGAAAACCACCUUCACCUGCCCUUUCGAUACCUUUGCCUAUAGAUGUAUGCCUUUUGGCUUAUGUAAUGCACCUGCCACCUUUCAAAGAUGUAUGAUGGCUAUAUUCUCUGACUUUUGUGAAAAGAUUGUCGAGGUUUUCAUGGAUGACUUCUCCAUUUACGGGUCUUCCUUUGAUGAUUGCCUCAGCAACCUUGAUCGAAUCUUACAGAGAUGCGAAUAAACCAACCUCGUCUUGAAUUGGGAGAAGUGCCACUUUAUGGUUAAUGAAGGUAUCGUCUUAGGACACAAAAUCUCUGAAAGAGGCAUUGAAGUUGAUAAGGCUAAGGUUGAUGCAAUUGAGAAAAUGCCUUGCCCCACAGAUAUCAGAGGUAUACGAAGUUUCCUAGGUCAUGCUGAUUUCUAUAGAAGGUUCAUUAAAGACUUCUCUAAGAUUUCUAGGCCUCUUACCAACCUCUUGCAGAAGGAUGUUCCUUUUGUUUUUGAUGAGGAUUGUGAGGAAGCCUUCGAAAUACUUAAGAAGGCUUUGAUAACCGCACCUAUUGUUCAACCACCUGACUGGAACUUUCCCUUUGAAAUCAUGUGUGACGCUAGUGAUUAUGCUGUUGGUGUUGUUCUAGGACAAAGAGUUGACAAGAAGUUGAAUGUCAUUCACUACGCUAGUAAAACUCUAGACAGUGCCCAAAGGAACUAUGCCACUACGGAGAAGGAAUUUUUAGCACUCGUGUUUGCAUGUGAAAAAAUCAGAUCUAACAUAGUUGACUCCAAGGUCACUAUUCACUCUGAUCAUGCUCCUAUUAAGUACCUUAUGGAGAAGAAGGACGCUAAGCCUAGGCUUAUCAGAUGGGUUCUCCUGCUACAGGAAUUUGAUUUGCACGUCAUUGACCGAAAGGGUGCUGAUAACCCUGUAGCAGAUAACUUGUCUAGGCUAGAGAAUGUCCUUGAUGACCCACUACCAAUUGAUGACAGCUUUCCUGAUGACCAAUUAAAUGUCAUCCGCACUUCACUUAGUGCACCAUGGUAUGCCGAUUAUGCAAACUAUAUCGUAGCCAAAUACAUACCACCCAGUUUCACCUAUCAACAAAAGAAGAAAUUCUUCUUUGAUUUGAGACACUACUUUUGGGAUGAUCCUCACCUUUAUAAGGAAGGAGUAGAUGGUGUUAUUAGACGUUGUGUGCCUGAACAUGAACAGGGACAGAUCCUGCAGAAGUGUCAUUCCGAAGCCUACGGAGGACACCACGCUGGAGAUAGAACUGCCCAUGAGGUAUUGCAAUCAGGUUUCUAUUGGCCCACUCUCUUCAAGGAUGCUCGUAAGUUUGUCUUGUCUUGUGACAAAUGCCCAAGGAUAGGGAACAUCAGUAAGCGUCACAAGAUGCCUAUGAACUAUUCACUUGUCAUUGAACCAUUUGAUGUCUGGGGCUUUGAUUAUAUGGGACCCUUCCCGAGUUCCAGUGGGUACACUCACAUCUUAGUUGUUGUGGAUUACGUUACUAAGUGGGUAGAAGCUAUCCCCACUAAAAAUGCUGAUCACCACAACUCUAUUAAGAUGCUUAAAGAAGUUAUAUUCCCAAGAUUUGGAGUCCCUAGAUACUUGAUGACUGAUGGCGGUUCACACUUCAUUCAUGGUGUUUUCCGCAAGAUGCUAGCUAAGUAUGAUGUCAACCAUAGAGUUGCAUCUCCUUAUCAUCCUCAGUCUAGUGGUCAAUUGGAGUUGAGUAAUAGGGAGAUCAAGUUGAUCUUACAAAAGACCGUCAAUAGAUCCCGAAAGAACUGGUCUAGCAAACUUGACGAUGCACUAUGGGCUUAUAGGACUGCUUAUAAAAAUCCCAUGGGCAUGUCACCGUAUAAAAUGGUUUACGGUAAGGCCUGUCAUUUACCUCUUGAGUUGGAACACAAAGCUUAUUGGGCAAUCAAAGAGCUCAACUUUGAUUUCAAACUUGCCAGUGAGAAGCGGUUGUUUGAUAUCAGCUUGUUGGAUGAAUGGAGAGCCCAGGCAUAUGAGAAUACCACGUCGUCAAGGAAAAGGUUAAGAGAUGGCACGACAAACGAAUACAGAAACGAGAGUUCAAUGUAGGUGAUUAUGUCUUGCUAUACAAUUCUCGUUUGAGAUUCUUUGGAGGCAAGCUUCUCUCUAAAUGGGAAGGUCCCUACGUUGUCGAGGAAGUAUAUCGUUCCGGUGCCAUCAAAAUCAAUAAUACAAGGAAAUUUUCCUAGAGUGGUAAAUGGGCAAAGAAUCAAGCAUUACAUCUCUGGUACUCCCAUAAAUGUUGAGACCAAUAUCAUCAAUGUCAUAACUCCACAGGAGUACAUAAGGGAUGUUUAUCAGCCUGUUUCAGACCUUGAAAACGAAGAUGUAUCUGUUUCGGCAAGAAAUUGGACUCCGAUACUUUUCCAAUAGGAAAUUUCCUCAGUUUUGGAAUUUUUGGAAAAUUAGAAAAAUAAAAAAGCAGUCCGGAGAGCAAACGAGGAAGCCACAAGGGCCCACUCCGCCACCACCCCCUGGUGGCGGUGGGCAAGCUUGUGGGCACCUUGUGUGCCUCCCGGACUCCGUUUUCUUGCAGAGGACUCCUUCUGGCCCAGAAAAAAUCAAUAUAUAGUUGCCCGAAGGUUUUGAUCUUCAUAUCGCGUAGUUUUCCUCUGUUUUCGUUUCGAGCUUGUUUCUGCCGCAGAUCUAGAUCAUCAUGACUUCCCCAAACGCUCCUAAGGACAAGAUCUUGGAGAAGGUCAUCAAUCCCUACCUCACGGAAGUGCUAAAACACCAUCAAUCUAUCAAGAUGAGCGAGGGGAUGUUGCACAUCCGUGAUGUUGAGGGGCCUAAGAAGACCGGAAGCAUGGAGACGAGGCUCGAAGUAGUGGAGCAACAAGUCUUCAUGUGCCAAGGGAUGGUUGAGCGUGGACUCAACGCCAACCACACGAUGAUCACGGAGUUCACUAGCAAUCACAAGAUGGAUGUCAUUGAUAUCGGGAAACACCUCUCCAGACUUUACGAUAGGGUUGACCAACUUCAGGGCCAAAUCUAUGACCUGCAGAAUCAAAACUGUGAGUAUGGGUAUAGAUUUAAAUCAAUAAGGUUGGCUGCAGAUUUGAGGAUUUCGGCUACUCGUUCAUCCUGCCAUGAUGGAGCACCUAUGCCUUGGAAGACGGAGGAUCAGACUACUCCAACAACACCACCAUCAUCACCAAAGGAAGACAACUAAGCAUUGGUAUGGGCAAUCCCCUUGGCUUCUGCCGAGCUUGGGGGAGUUGCCCUGGUAUCAUAUCACCUUUAUAUCUUUUGCUUUUACCUUUGUUUUAGUUCUUUCCCUUUCAGUUUUUAUUUCUUCUUUUAGAGGAAUAAGUCUUUAGUUUUUAGUUUGAGUCUUUUGCUUUUGGUCUCUCCCCCGAUGUAUUCGAGCUUACGAGCUAUAUAAUAAAGAGUGUCUUAGUCAAAGGGCUUUGCUUUGUGCCAUGAUCAAAAGUAUGAAAAGAACGAUAGCAUGAAAGAUCAUGAGACGAUCUUAUGGAAAGUGAUAACUUCACUUAUGACACGUAUGAUGAUUGAAACUUGUCGAGAAUAAAUCAACACAUACCUCAGUCAUUGUUGCAAUUAAUAAGAAGUAAUAAGGAAAGAGAGGUUCACAUAUAAAUAUAUCAUCUUAGACACUUUCUACAAUUGUGAGCACUCACCAAACUAUUACAUGCCUAGGAGUAGAUGUUGGACAAGGAAGACAACAUAAUGAAUUGUGUUUGCUUGGUUCCAAACAAUGUUAUAUGAUUAGAGAUCCCUUAGCAUGUGACGAUUGCUUCCACCUCAUAUUAGCCAAAACUUCCGCACCAAGUAGAGAUACUACUUGUGCAUCCAUAAACCUUCAACCCAGUUUUGCCAUGAGAGUCCACCAUACCUACCUAUGGAUUGAAUAAGAUCCUUCAAGUAAGUUGUCAUCGGUGCAAGCAAUAAAAAUUGCUCUCUAAUAUGUAUGAUCUAUUAGUGUGUGGAAAAUAAGCUUUGUACGAACCUGUGAUGAGGAAGACAUAAAAGCGACAGACUGCAUAAUAAAGUUCUUUGUCACAGGAGGCAAUAUAAAGUGACGUUCCUCCGCACUAAGAGGACACGCAUUCAAACCUCAAAAGUGCAUGACAACCUCUGCUUCCCUCUGCGAAGGGCCUAUCUUGUACCUUUACUUUUACCCUUGUAAGAGUCAUGGUGAUCAUCACCAAUUCCCUUUUUGCCUUCGUCUUGGCUACCGUCACAUGCUUGGAAAAGAUCUAUAUUCAUAUAUCAACUUGGAGUUGAGUACUCAUGCUUUAUUGUUGUUGACUUUACCCUUGAGGUAAACCGUUGGGAGGAAAAACUAUAAGCCCCCAUCUUCCUCUGUGUCGAGCUGAAGCUUUGACACCAUGAGUACCACGUGAGCUAUAAAAAUUGUGGAAAACAAAAGAGAUGAUUGAGUAUGUGGGUUUGCCUUACAAGCUCUUAUUUGACUCUUUCUGAUGUUGUGAUAAAUUGCAAUUGCUUCAAUGAUUAUGGACUAUUGUUGGUUACUUCUCGGUAAGGUUUUUGCUUCAUGCUUUGCUUUGUGAAGGAAUUGUUACUUUCCCAUAAGAAUCUUUAUAUAUAUUGUUGUUCUAUGUGUGAUCAUGAUGCCCUCAUGUCUGUAUUAUGUUUUAUCGACACCUUCGUCCCUCAACAUGUGGACGUGUUUAUGGAACUUGGUUUUCGCUUGAGGACAAGCGAGGUCUAAGCUUGGGGGAGUUGAUACGUCCAUUUUGCAUCAUGUUUUCAUGUUGAUAUUUAUUGCUUCUUGGGAUGUUAUAUUACUUGUGGUGCCAUAUUUAUGCCUUUUCGCUCUUAUUUUGCAAGGAUUAUUUGAAGAGGGAGAAUUCAGGCAGCUGGAAUUCUGGACUAGAAAAGGAGCAAAUCCUAGUCCACUAUUCUGCACAUCUCCAAAUGCCCUGAAAAUUUACGUGGAUUUUUUCUGGAAUAUAUUAAAAAUACUGGGCGAAAGAACUACUGGAGGGGGGCCACCAGGGCCCCACAAGCUUGCCCACCACCACCACCCCCUGGUGGCGCACGGUAGGCUUGUGGGCAGCCCACUAGCCCACUAGCCCCCCUCUUUUGCUAUAUGAUGCGUCCUGACCUGGAAAAAAUCAUACAGGAGCUUUUUCGUGGUUUCGCCGCCACCACGGGGCGGAACUUGAGCAGAUCCAAUCUAGAGCUCUGGCAGGACAAUCCUGCCGGGGAAAUUUCCCUCCCGGAGGGGGGAAUCGUCGCCAUCUUCAUCACCAACACUCCUCUCGUCGGAGGGGAGGCAUCUUCAUCAACAUCUUCAUCAGCACCAUCUCUUCUCCAAUCCCUAGUUCAUCUCUUGUAACCAAUCUUCAUCUCGCAACUCAAAUUGGUACUUGUAAGGUUGCUAGUAGUGUUGAUUACUCUUUGUACUUGAUGCUUGUUGGAUUACUUGGUGGAAGAUUUUAUGUUCAGAUCCUUGAUGCUAUUCAUUACACCUCUGGUCAUGAUUAUGAUUAUGUCUUGUGAGUAGUUACUUUUGUUCCUGAGGACAUGGAAUAAGUCAUGCUGAUAAUAGUCAUGUGAAUUUGAUAUUCGUUCGGUAUUUUGAUAUGAUGUAUGUUGUUUUUCCUCUAGUGGUGUUAUGUGAAUGUCAACUACAUAACACUUCACCAUAUUUGGGUCUAGAGGAAGGCAUUGGAAAGUAGUAAGUAGAUGAUGGGUUGCUGGAGUGACAGAAGCUUGAACCCCAGUUUAUGCGCUACUUCGUGAGGGGUUGAUUUGGAUCCACUAGUUUAAUGCUAUGGUUAGACUUUGUCUUAAUUCUUCUUUUGUAGUUGCGGAUGCUUGCGAGAUAGGUUAAUCAUAAGUGGGAUGCUUGUCCAAGUAAGGGCAGUACCCAAGUGCCGGUCCACCCACAUAUCAAACUAUCAAAGUAACGAAUGCGAAUCAUAUGAACAUGAUGAAACUAGUAUGACAGAAAUUCCCGUGUGUCCUCGGGAGCGUUUUCCUCCUAUAAGACUUUGUUCAGGCUUGUCCCUUGCUACAAAAGGGAUUGGGCCACUUGCUGCACCGUUGCUACUACUUGUUACUUGUUACUCUUUGCUUGCUACGUUUCACCUCGCUACACAAUCACUUGUUACCGCUACUUUCAGUGCUUGCAGUUAUUACCUUGCUGAAAUCCGUUUAUCAGAGCCUUUUGCUCCUCGUUGGGUUCGACACUCUUACUUAUCGAAAUGACUACGAUUGAUCCCCUAUACUUGUGGGUCAUCAAGUUGCGUGAUCACAUGGUCAUAGGAACAGAAACAUUGACAUGCAGAAAAAUAGUAGCAAUAAACUGACACGAUCAUAUGCUACAUUUAUAGUUCGGUUCUUGUCCAUCACAUCAUUCUCCCAAUGAUGUGAUCCCGUCAUCAAGUGACAACACUUGCCUAUGGCCAGGAAACCUUGACCAUCUUUGAUCAACGAGCUAGUCAACUAGAGGCUCACUAGGGACAGUGGGUUGUCUAUGUAUCCACACAUGUAUUUGAGUUUCCAAUCAAUACAAUUCUAGCAUGGAUAAAUAAAUGAUUAUUACGAACAAGGAAAUAUAAUAAUAACCAAUUUAUUAUUGCCUCUAGGGCAUAUUUCCAACAAUUUCUAUGUAAAAGGUGCGGAUAGUACCUCAUUCUCGUCUAUCCCAAGCUGAGGUAUGUCACCGACCCUAUGCUCAUCCAUGCAUACAAAAUUAUCCACUGGAGCCCUGAAUAAUUUUUUAUAGUAUUCAAAGAUAUAUUGUUUGAGAUUCUCAUGUCCCACAAUUGUACCCUCAUCUUGUUCUAGCUGGAUAAUUUUUUUAUUCCUAUGCUUUCCAUUAGCUAUUAGAUGGAAAUGUUGUGUGUUGUCAUCUCCUUGUACCACUUGGAGGACUUUCGCUCUUAGUGCCCACUUCAACUCCUCCUCUCUGAGUAGUUGUUUGAGCUUUAGUUCAGCCUCCAUUUUUCAAUGACCUCUCAUUGUCACCUAAUAACGUUUGUUCGGCUUUUAUGUCUAGUGUGUUUAUAAGUUUAUAAGUUCGACAAGCCUUUGUUUCUUUUUCUUAUAAAUUACACUAUCGUGCUUUUCCCAACCCCUUAAGAAUUGCCUCAGGUGUCUUAUCUUAUUUUGCCACCUGUCAACAUUCGAGUCACCUUCUGUGAAAUAGCCCAUUCUCAAACCCGUCCCUUUCAAACCAUCCCAAUUCGAAAGAAAAAAGGUUUUUAUUUCCCACAUGUGUUGCUUCUCGCGAGUCUACAAACAGUGGGGUAUGAUCAGAGAUAGCUCUUGGUAACUCUCAAACUGUGACGAGAGGGAAUUUCUGCUCCCAUUCCACACUCAUGAGAACCCGGUCCAACUUCUCAAAAGUUGGGUUAGGUAAAGAGUUUGCCCAAGUAAACUUUCUCCCUGAUAGCUCAAUCUCCCACAAAUUAAGGCUCUCGAUGAUUGAAUUAAACAUAAAUGACCAUCUUCCAUCAAAGUUAUCACUGUUUUUCUCAUCCUGCCUCCAGAUUAUAUUAAAAUCGCCCCCUACUAAAAUCGGCAGUCUCUCGUCCCCGCAGAUUCGGACAAGGUCAGCCAAGAAAUCUCUCUUGAACUCAGGCUGGGCCGCCCCAUGCACAUCUACGAGUGCCCAUUGGAACCCGUCAUCUUUGGAGCGAACUCAAAAUUUGACUGCAAAGUCUCCAUACACCACUUUCGUAGUUGUGGUGUCUCGCACCGAACCCCAAGCAAGAUCCCACCUGAUCUUCCUCUUGGAGGUAGACAAUGCCAGUCAAAUUCAGAACCUCCAUACAACGUGUUUAAAAACGAAGCUAUAUAGUUAUCUCUCCCAGUUUCCAUCAAUGCAACGAAAUCCAAUUUGUGCUCAAUAGUUGUUUCAGCUAGGAAUCUUCUUUUAGCCAAGUCUGCUAGACCUCUGCUAUUCCAAAAUGUUCCUUUCAUCGCUCAUCAUGAAAUUUCUUAGCCGUUUUAAAUCUAGCACUACGACGCACAGCUGAAACAGGAUAGACUUUUCUCUUCCAGGUUCUUUUUGGCCUAUCCUGAACCUCCGACCGAUCCACAUAACCGUUGGACUCUUGUGCGUUAGCAUUCGUUUGUGGAGGAGCCUCAUACCCCUCCUGAACGAUAUCAUUUGUGUCUUCAAGCAAAAGGGGGGUGGCACAAGAUCCUCACAUAAACGCUCUAAGGCUCCCAAACCCAAUGCAUUUAUAUCAGAAUCAUUCAUAGGUUUUACGGCUGCAAUUUUUCUGACCAUCUCAAUUGCCCUCUCUGCCUCUAAGUCUAACAUGUCAUUUACCGAUCUAGAUAUCUCCUGGUCUACCAAACGCUAGAAUAAGGCCUAGUAACGGGCCCGACCCAUGCCAUUUUGGCCCAUGACUGCAACCAAACACACCCUUAAGUAACUUCUACAAUAUCCAUCCCCAACUUCCAGAAAUUCUAACACUUAAAAAAUCAAAAUCAAACUAUUGGCAUUUAAAACUUUCAUACAUUUCAUUUCUGAAAAAAAUGGUCUUUUAGAUUUCGAAAUAUCAGUAUUAUAUUUUUUACAAAAUUUAACUUUAAGAAUUUUCAAAAUUAUAAGGAUUCAAAAUUCAAAUGUUUUAGCACUUAAAAAAAUUCAAACUUUAAAAAAAUUGAACUUUCAAAUGUUUUGAAUUUUAAGAAGUGUGAACUUUCAUUUUUUUAUAAAGGAUGGGUUUUAUUUACUCAAAAUAAAGCAUCAAGAGCAUACAAAUACAAUAAGAACACACCCGGCCACUUUAUAACUAGGAUGCACACAACCAACUCAAACUCACACACACAAAAAUACGAUCGGUAAAUAGCAAAGUCAUAUAAGACCAAAGCUAUGUGCGCGGUUGGAAAAAGAAACCAAAGCGACCAUAUUGGCAAUGGACAAACUACAACAAUGACCAUAUCUGCACCAACAAUUUCAUUACACCACACGGACAACGAGGUUCCUCAACAAUGACACCUUCAGAAAGGGAGCGACGCUCAAAUGCCGCUAUCAUCGGAUCCAACCAUCCAAGGUCAGAUGCAAGAUUUUCACUCUGAGAAUCAGUCCAAGCAUGUCCGAGCAAUUCCUUCAAUAAGGUAAUGGCGUAAAAACAUCGCCAUUGCCAGGUACAGCCAACUCGAGUUGGACCUAGGCUUUCACCCGGGAGCUCAAGACCGGGUGCUCGAGAAGCACCACCAUCGAAGUCACUAUGUGUUGUUGCCACUACUUUUCCACAAUCUCAGUAGCUAUAUGCGAUGUGUGACCGCUGAUGCUGCACAACCAUCCCUCUACAUCAAGCCAUCAUCAAUAGUUUCAAUCUCACCGUUGAAGUCAACCAUCGGAUCUCCAAGAUCAAUCAUGAAGACCUUUUGAUGGAUACUACAUCAAUCCGCCGCGAGACCGCCACCGUAGUCAUGGUGGUCACCACACGUUCGUCGUCACGCCCCUAGCAGACCUAAAGGUCCACACCAAGGAACCACGGGUCCACACGCAUGGAGCCAUGGAUGUGUGUGUGGAUCAUGAAACGACCAAUCCAUGGCCAUGGCCAUUAGAUGAGACUAUCCCUGGCUGAUGGCAGGUGUCCAAGCCCUGCCGACAUGGCCACUACACCAUGGGCGCCAUCCCACAUGAAGGAGCCACCAGGCGGAGCAGCGACCACAAGUGAGGCGAGAUCUACACCAGCAAUGGCUGGAUCAUCCAGGUAACUGUCCGCUGGAUCUGUGGUGACAUCGUUGGAGGAAGCACGGGGUAGAGAGUGUGAAUCUGGGUUGGGGGAGAGGGGAAGGUCGGGGAAGAAGAUCCCUGUGGCGGUUGAGUCCCGCCGCCGCUGACAAACUGUCAUCGAUGAUGACGACGAGGAUGGAACAUCGGAGGCGGCCUCGAGUGCUAGGGUUUCUCGCCCCCGGUGUCGCCCUGGAGCAACACGGGAGGCCGAUGGCGAUUUCAUAGGAGAGAGAGAGAGAAGGUUGAGAAAUAGAAUCACAUGGUUGGGCAUGUGAGGAAAGAGAGAGAUGGAAAGAAGCACAUGGAUGAGGCCCCCUCGUCCUAUCUACCACAUGGUAACCUGACACAGUCACAUGCAAUGCUUGCGGCAAUGACCAUGGGCACAGUUCCCACAAGAGAGCAUUCUUAGAGUAAUAGCGAGUCUCAUCCUCAUGUUGGAUGCCUAUAUAAAGCUUCUCCUUUCCAACAUUCAUCAUACGAAUUGGCCAAAAUUUCUUUCUCAUUUGUGAUCUUUCAUCACAUUCAACUUUCCUUUGUAUAUAUUGUUGCUAAGCUUCAAAUUCUAAUCAGCUGGAGCUAAGCAAUGAAUUCUUCAUGCCAUCGAGCAUUCCUCGUGAGGAACAUCUUUUGUACUUUGGAAUGAGUGGUAUCGAGAAAUUAGUCAGGACGACUUUCUGAGGCUGAGGCGCCGCUUUUUUCUGUUCUCGUCUCUGAGACGUUGAGGUGGUAGACAUUUAUGAUAAGUGCAUUUCUUGUUGAGAAUAGCAUCGAUAAUCAUGUCUAGUCUAACAACUUGCUCAUUUAGGACUACCCUGGACAGUGCAACAAGUAAAAUACCAAAUCCUUGUACAAAAACAAGUUGUUGCCCUGUGGUGAGGAGUUGAAGCUAUGGCAUGAACUCGUCCAUGUGUGCGGUAUUUCUCCUUGUUGUUUCCAUCGUCUCUAGAAAUCGCUAAAAAGAUCAAAAACAAUAUCAAACCGUUGACACUAUGUGUCUACCAUCUCACACAAAUUCGAACCCAUAUCCAUCGCAGAUCUCCAAAAACAAACAAACAAGACGGAUCCAGUGUUGAACAGCAUAGCAACUAAUUCAAAUCAGCACAUGAACACAUCAUAUCAUCAGCACCAACACAAGAUUGUUUUUUUUUCUCUUUUCUUCAAACAAUAUCCUGAUUAAGGUUUAAAUAUUCUUGUGGCGUUGUAAAUACAUGUUGUGUGUCAGAGACAUAAUUCUUUUUCAAAUAAAAAAACAUAACUUUUUUUACCACAAAUUUUUCUAGGCUUAUGUGUGUGUAUCUUCCUUGUUUCAGUUCCAAGUGACAAGAGGCAAACUUGUCACGGUUGACUGAAUAGAACAGUAGCAAUCGACCUGCCCGGAGCUUCUAUUUUUUGUAGGUGAUUUUCUCUGUUAAGAGUGACUUCUUCUUUUUUGAGAGUUUUGUUAAGAGUGACAUGAAAUCUGCAUAUGGCGAUCGAGCACGCAUGCCGGCGAUCCCACACGGCGCACCGCAGCCACAAGCCGAUCGCCCCCACAAAAUCUGCCCGACGGCUCCCACCGGGAUGGGAUUCCCCGGUGCCAAUGGCGCGCGCCCACCUCACCCCCUCUUAUCCCCGCCUCACCCACUCGCGCCACGCCCCUUAUCCCCUCCUCUUACAAACCCACACAAACUAAUCAUCGCCCACCACCCUCCAACGAUCACCAACCAAAACCCCUCCACACGCCCGCCCGCGCGCGCCACGGACGCAGCAAUGGCCGCCCUCGCCGCCUCCAUCGCCACCUCCACGGCGUUCGCCGCGAAGCCGCGCCUGUCCCGCCCGCCGGCGCGCCUCUCCGUCUCCUGCUCCGCGUCCAGCGGCGACAACAACAACAGCACCGCCACCCCCUCGCUCUCCGCCUCCAUCAAGACCUUCUCGGCCGCGCUGGCGCUCUCCUCCGUGCUCCUCUCCUCCGCCGCCACCUCCCCGCCCCCCGCGGCUGCCGACAUCGCCGGCCUGACCCCGUGCAAGGAGUCCAAGGCCUUCGCCAAGCGGGAGAAGCAGUCGGUCAAGAAGCUCAACUCGUCGCUCAAGAAGUACGCGCCCGACUCCGCCCCGGCGCUCGCCAUCCAGGCCACCAUCGACAAGACCAAGCGCCGGUUCGAGAACUACGGCAAGUUCGGCCUGCUCUGCGGCUCCGACGGCCUGCCCCACCUCAUCGUCAGCGGCGACCAGCGGCACUGGGGCGAGUUCAUCACCCCCGGCGUGCUCUUCCUCUACAUCGCCGGCUGGAUCGGCUGGGUCGGACGCAGCUACCUCAUCGCCGUCAGCGGCGAGAAGAAGCCCGCCAUGAGGGAGAUCAUCAUCGACGUCGAGCUCGCCGCCAGGAUCAUCCCCAGGGG
This 30364-nucleotide long non-coding RNA is filed under the name Hordeum vulgare. RNAcentral's name for it is "long non-coding RNA (HVUL_LNC013953)". Lineage: Eukaryota; Viridiplantae; Streptophyta; Magnoliopsida; Poales; Poaceae. The record is from RNAcentral.